UUUGAAUGGAGGGCUUCAUAUUUAAGGA
This 28-nucleotide non-coding RNA is filed under the name Rattus norvegicus (Norway rat). Lineage: Eukaryota; Metazoa; Chordata; Mammalia; Rodentia; Muridae. The record is from RNAcentral.